UGGGGAAUUUUGGACAAUUGGGGAAACCCUGAUCCAGCCAUCCCGCGUGUGCGAUGAAGGCCUUCGGGUUGUAAAGCACUUUUGGCAGGAAAGAAACGUCAUGGGUUAAUACCCCGUGAAACUGACGGUACCUGCAGAAUAAGCACCGGCUAACUACGUGCCAGCAGCCGUGGUAAUACGUAGGGUGCAAGCGUUAAUCGGAAUUACUGGGCGUAAAGCGUGCGCAGGCGGUUCGGAAAGAAAGAUGUGAAAUCCCAGAGCUCAACUUUGGAACUGCAUUUUUAACUACCGGGCUAGAGUGUGUCAGAGGGAGGUGGAAUUCCGCGUGUAGCAGUGAAAUGCGUAGAUAUGCGGAGGAACACCGAUGGCGAAGGCAGCCUCCUGGGAUAACACUGACGCUCAUGCACGAAAGCGUGGGGAGCAAACAGG
This 429-nucleotide ribosomal RNA is filed under the name Acidobacteriota bacterium. RNAcentral's name for it is "Acidobacteria bacterium partial 16S ribosomal RNA". It matches the Rfam family "Bacterial small subunit ribosomal RNA", at positions 355 to 776 of the family's 1533-position model. The record is from RNAcentral. Lineage: Bacteria; Pseudomonadati; Acidobacteriota.